RNAcentral lists this ribosomal RNA (642 nucleotides) under uncultured bacterium. Its description in RNAcentral is "bacterial SSU rRNA". It matches the Rfam family "Bacterial small subunit ribosomal RNA", at positions 202 to 844 of the family's 1533-position model. The record is from RNAcentral.
UAAAGAUUCAUCGGCUGCGGAUGGCCAUGCGGCGCAUUAGCUAGUCGGCGGGGUAACGGCCCACCGAGGCGACGAUGCGUAGGGGUUCUGAGAGGAAGGUCCCCCACACUGGUACUGAGACACGGACCAGACUCCUACGGGAGGCAGCAGUGAGGAAUAUUGGUCAAUGGCCGGGAGGCUGAACCAGCCAAGUCGCGUGAGGGAAGACGGCCCUACGGGUUGUAAACCUCUUUUGUCAGGGAGCAAGAGGCGGGUCGAGACCUGCUGUGAGAGUACCUGAAGAAAAAGCAUCGGCUAACUCCGUGCCAGCAGCCGCGGUAAUACGGAGGAUGCGAGCGUUAUCCGGAUUUAUUGGGUUUAAAGGGUGCGCAGGCGGAGGCACAAGUCAGCGGUAAAAUCGCGGGGCUCAACCCCGCUCCGCCGUUGAAACUGUGUCCCUUGAGUGCGCGAAGGGUAGGCGGAAUGCGUGGUGUAGCGGUGAAAUGCAUAGAUAUCACGCAGAACUCCGAUCGCGAAGGCAGCCUACCGGCGCGCAACUGACGCUCAUGCACGAAAGCGUGGGUAUCGAACAGGAUUAGAUACCCUGGUAGUCCACGCAGUAAACGAUGAAUGCUAUCUGUCCGGCCGGAAUGACGGCUGGGU